Molecule: transfer RNA, 74 nt
Filed under: Elusimicrobia bacterium GWA2_38_7
Lineage: Bacteria; Pseudomonadati; Elusimicrobiota
Also listed under: 4 other names
Description: tRNA-Gly
Rfam family: tRNA
About the family: Transfer RNA (tRNA) molecules are approximately 80 nucleotides in length. Their secondary structure includes four short double-helical elements and three loops (D, anti-codon, and T loops). Further hydrogen bonds mediate the characteristic L-shaped molecular structure. tRNAs have two regions of fundamental functional importance: the anti-codon, which is responsible for specific mRNA codon recognition, and the 3' end, to which the tRNAs corresponding amino acid is attached (by aminoacyl-tRNA synthetases). tRNAs cope with the degeneracy of the genetic code in two manners: having more than one tRNA (with a specific anti-codon) for a particular amino acid; and 'wobble' base-pairing, i.e. permitting non-standard base-pairing at the 3rd anti-codon position.
Source: RNAcentral
GCGGGUAUAAUUCAGUGGUAGAAUGACAGCCUUCCAAGCUGUAUAUGCGGGUUCGAUUCCCGCUACCCGCUCCA